RNAcentral lists this ribosomal RNA (435 nucleotides) under uncultured rumen bacterium. RNAcentral's name for it is "bacterial SSU rRNA". It matches the Rfam family "Bacterial small subunit ribosomal RNA", at positions 957 to 1393 of the family's 1533-position model. The record is from RNAcentral.
UAACGCGAAGAACCUUACCUGGGCUUGACAUCCCCGGCGAUGCCCCUGGAAACAGGGGCGGAGGCCAUCCGGGUGACAGGUGCUGCAUGGCUGUCGUCAGUUCGUGCCGUGAGGUGUUGGGUUAAGUCCCGCAACGAGCGCAACCCCUGCCCCGUGUUGCCAGCGGGUAAAGCUGGGGACUCGCGGGGGACUGCCGCGGAGAACGCGGAGGAAGGCGGGGAUGACGUCAAGUCAUCAUGCCCCUUAUGACCUGGGCUACACACGUACUACAAUGGGAUGGACAGAGGGAAGCGAAGGAGCGAUCCGGAGCGGACCCCAGAAAGCAUCCCCCAGUUCGGAUUGCAGGCUGCAACCCGCCUGCAUGAAGUCGGAAUCGCUAGUAAUCGCAGGUCAGCAUACUGCGGUGAAUACGUUCCCGGGUCUUGUACACACCGA